GAUGAACGCUGGCGGCGUGCCUAAUACAUGCAAGUCGAGCGAACGGACGAGAAGCUUGCUUCUCUGAUGUUAGCGGCGGAUGGGUGAGUAACACGUGGAUAACCUACCUAUAAGACUGGGAUAACUUCGGGAAACCGGAGCUAAUACCGGAUAAUAUUUUGAACCGCAUGGUUCAAAAGUGAAAGACGGACUUGCUGUCACUUAUAGAUGGAUCCGCGCUGCAUUAGCUAGUUGGUAAGGUAACGGCUUACCAAGGCAACGAUGCAUAGCCGACCUGAGAGGGUGAUCGGCCACACUGGAACUGAGACACGGUCCAGACUCCUACGGGAGGCAGCAGUAGGGAAUCUUCCGCAAUGGGCGAAAGCCUGACGGAGCAACGCCGCGUGAGUGAUGAAGGUCUUCGGAUCGUAAAACUCUGUUAUUAGGGAAGAACAUAUGUGUAAGUAACUGUGCACAUCUUGACGGUACCUAAUCAGAAAGCCACGGCUAACUACGUG
Molecule: ribosomal RNA, 497 nt
Filed under: uncultured bacterium
Lineage: Bacteria
Description: partial 16S ribosomal RNA
Rfam family: Bacterial small subunit ribosomal RNA
Source: RNAcentral